Molecule: ribosomal RNA, 397 nt
Filed under: uncultured bacterium
Lineage: Bacteria
Description: partial 16S ribosomal RNA
Rfam family: Bacterial small subunit ribosomal RNA
Source: RNAcentral
CGACGUAGGGGGCGAGCGUUGUCCGGAAUUACUGGGCGUAAAGAGCACGUAGGCGGGGGUUUAAGUCAGGUGUGAAAGACCGCAGCUUGACUGCGGGGUUGCACUUGAAACUGGGCAUCUUGAGGGCAGGAGAGGACAGUAGAAUUCCUGGUGUAGCGGUGAAAUGCGUAGAAAUCAGGAGGAAUACCAGUGGCGAAGGCGACUGUCUGGACUGACCCUGACGCUGAGGUGCGAAAGCGUGGGUAGCAAACAGGAUUAGAUACCCUGGUAGUCCACGCUGUAAACGAUGGAUACUAGGUGUAGGAGGUAUCGACCCCUUCUGUGCCGCAGCUAACGCAAUAAGUAUCCCGCCUGGGGAGUACGGUCGCAAGGCUGAAACUUAAAUGAAUUGGCGGGG